This 515-nucleotide ribosomal RNA is filed under the name uncultured bacterium. RNAcentral's name for it is "partial 16S ribosomal RNA". It matches the Rfam family "Bacterial small subunit ribosomal RNA", at positions 28 to 523 of the family's 1533-position model. The record is from RNAcentral.
GAUGAACGCUGGCGGCGUGCCUAAUACAUGCAAGUCGAGCGAAUGGAUUGAGAGCUUGCUCUUAUGAAGUUAGCGGCGGACGGGUGAGUAACACGUGGGUAACCUGCCCAUAAGACUGGGAUAACUCCGGGAAACCGGGGCUAAUACCGGAUAACAUUUUGAACCUCAUGGUUCGAAAUUGAAAGGCGGCCUCGGCUGUCACUUAUGGAUGGAUCCGCGUCGCAUUAGCGAGUUGGGGAGGUAACGGCUCACCAAGGCAACGAUGCGUAGCCGACCUGAGAGGGUGGUCGGCCACACUGGGACUGAGACACGGCCCAGACUCCUACGGGAGGCAGCAGUAGGGAAUCUUCCGCAAUGGACGAAAGUCUGACGGAGCAACGCCGCGUGAGUGAUGAAGGCUUUCGGGUCGUAAAACUCUGUUGUUAGGGAAGAACAAGUGCUAGUUGAAUAAGCUGGCACCUUGACGGUACCUAACCAGAAAGCCACGGCUAACUACGUGCCAGCCGCCGCGGUAA